Non-coding RNA from Chelonoidis abingdonii (Abingdon island giant tortoise), 123 nucleotides. The record is from RefSeq and is a predicted model, not a curated record. NCBI's taxonomy places the organism in Eukaryota, Metazoa, Chordata, Testudines, Testudinidae.
AGGGUGAACAGUGAGGGGGCAAAUUUUUCAGAAGAUACAAAACUAAUCAACAUAGUUAAGUCCAAAGCAAACUGCAAAGAGUUACAAAAAGACCUCACAAAACUGGGUGACUGGACAACAAAA